CAACAGUGAUGACAAGGAAGUAACCAAGAAUCAAGUACAAUCAAUAACGUGCAUAAACUAUCAUACAUACGAGGAAGAGAAAGAGAACCUAUGAGAGAUAUCAGGAGAGACUUGAAGAAGACGUGGAAAACGGAGAAGCAACUAAACCAUGAAUUAACUCUUCUUAUCAUAUCUUCAUUUUUUUUUUUCCUUCUCUAUUUUUAGACCAAGAUUAAACCCGAUAAAUACACAAUACUUUUCCAUUUUCUUUUUCUCUCUAUCUUAUGUCCUAUUAUUAUUAUUAUAUUUCUUUCA
This 294-nucleotide unclassified non-coding RNA is filed under the name Hevea brasiliensis (rubber tree). Lineage: Eukaryota; Viridiplantae; Streptophyta; Magnoliopsida; Malpighiales; Euphorbiaceae. The record is from RNAcentral.